AGUAACCGUGGGUAACCUGCCUGUAAGACUGGGAUAACUCCGGGAAACCGGGGCUAAUACCGGAUGCUUGUUUGAACCGCAUGGUUCAAACAUAAAAGGUGGCUUCGGCUACCACUUACAGAUGGACCCGCGGCGCAUUAGCUAGUUGGUGAGGUAACGGCUCACCAAGGCAACGAUGCGUAGCCGACCUGAGAGGGUGAUCGGCCACACUGGGACUGAGACACGGCCCAGACUCCUACGGGAGGCAGCAGUAGGGAAUCUUCCGCAAUGGACGAAAGUCUGACGGAGCAACGCCGCGUGAGUGAUGAAGGUUUUCGGAUCGUAAAGCUCUGUUGUUAGGGAAGAACAAGUACCGUUCGAAUAGGGCGGUACCUUGACGGUACCUAACCAGAAAGCCACGGCUAACUACGUGCCAGCAGCCGCGGUAAUACGUAGGUGGCAAGCGUUGUCCGGAAUUAUUGGGCGUAAAGGGCUCGCAGGCGGUUUCUUAAGUCUGAUGUGAAAGCCCCCGGCUCAACCGGGGAGGGUCAUUGGAAACUGGGGAACUUGAGUGCAGAAGAGGAGAGUGGAAUUCCACGUGUAGCGGUGAAAUGCGUAGAGAUGUGGAGGAACACCAGUGGCGAAAGGCGACUCUCUGGUCUGUAACUGACGCUGAGGAGCGAAAGCGUGGGGAGCGAACAGGAUUAGAUACCCUGGGUAGUCCACGCCGUAAACGAUGAGUGCUAAGUGUUAGGGGGUUUCCGCCCCCUUAGUGCUGCAGSUAACGCAUUAAGCACUCCGCCUGGGGAGUACGGUGCAAGACUGAAACUCAAAGGAAUUGACGGGGGCCCGCACAAGCGGUGGAGCAUGUGGUUUAAUUGAAGCAACGCGAAGAACCUUACCAGGUCUUGACAUCCUCUGACAAUCCUAGAGAUAGGACGUCCCCUUCGGGGGCAGAGUGACAGGUGGUGCAUGGUUGUCGUCAGCUCGUGUCGUGAGAUGUUGGGUUAAGUCCCGCAACGAGCGCAACCCUUGAUUUAGUUGCCAGCAUUCAGUUGGGCACUCUAAGGUGACUGCCGGUGACAAACCGGAGGAAGGUGGGGAUGACGUCAAAUCAUCAUGCCCCUUAUGACCUGGGCUACACACGUG
Molecule: ribosomal RNA, 1128 nt
Filed under: Bacillus inaquosorum
Lineage: Bacteria; Bacillati; Bacillota; Bacilli; Caryophanales; Bacillaceae
Description: bacterial SSU rRNA
Rfam family: Bacterial small subunit ribosomal RNA
Source: RNAcentral